Molecule: non-coding RNA, 4596 nt
Organism: Microcebus murinus (gray mouse lemur)
Lineage: Eukaryota; Metazoa; Chordata; Mammalia; Primates; Cheirogaleidae
Source: RefSeq, a predicted model, not a curated record
ACCUUUCACCUGACUGCUUGUGUAUCCUUACACAGAGUAUGUAAUAGCACAGUGAUAUAAUCUCUUGUAAGGUAAGUAUCAUCCUAGAUACACCUUCUUGGGUUGUUAGUCAUUCCUGCAUUUAAACUAGCAAGAUUUAGAAGAUCUUUGAUACUUCAGUGAGUCCUAAUAGUGCAUGUAUAAGAGGGAAAAUAAAUGCAAAUGUACUGCCUCAUGGUUCAGUGUUUUAUUCUUUUUGAUAGGUGAUUAGAUAAUUUCAUCUUUAUCUUUUUUUAAUAUCUAAAAAAUCUAUUUUAUAAAUGCCAUUUGGUGACCACUUUUUUCACUGGAAAGUACUUUUUGUUUUGGGGGAAUUGUUUUAUUCCAAACACUUUUAAAAUGGGAAAAACUCACCUCUGGUUUUAUGACAAUGACUGCAUUGUUAAAGAAGCAUCCUUAUUCUGAAUAUUUAGUUAAAAAAAUACAUUGUAUAAGCACAGAUAAUUUUAAAAAUCAAAGCUGUAAUCACCUUAAUUAUUCAUAUACUGAAUAUCUAAUUGGGGAUUAUAUAAGAUUUUGUCAUUCCUCUUGUUAUCUUUUUAUUAAUUGUUUUUUUAUAAUUUUCUUGCUGUAUUUUAUCUAGAUGUAUAUGUAUUUACUUGUACAAAAGGAGAGUCAUGGAAGGAAUUAAGUUGACAUUUAAAAUUAAAGUGUUCAAAAACAUUUGAAUAUAUGUGUCGGGACACUUUCAAAGCUAAAUAAGACAUCUAAAAAAAGGAGAAUUUUGUCAGGUUAUGUGUUUUGGUCUUAUUUAUUCUGUUAUUAAGGUGAUGGUGGCUCUUAGCAAAAGAUGUAUCUUUAAAGCUACUCCAUACUUUAUCUUCUAAAGUAGUUUUACAAGUAUGGUUUGGUCCUCUGCCCUGUAGGAUGAUUGAUUCCCUUUGCUUUUUCUCCUACUUUUAUAUUGCUGUCAGGAAAUAAUCAGCAAGAAGUAAUGGAAUCAAUCAGUGGAAAUCCGAAGCAAGCAUCUAAGUAAAAGAACUUUUCUGGAUAGCAUAAGAUCAGAUCUCCUUUCCUCCACUGUUUUUCACAGUCUGCUUCCUGAGCAUAUUUGAAACAUUUUGUUAAAUGUUCAGGAGUACUCAUUGUAACUGUCCAUUCUAGAUUAAAUUGGCCUUGAUUUAGGUAGCUAGCUUUUUCAUUUUUGCUUUAUUAUAUUUUUUAUUUUUAAACUUUAUUUUGGCAGUUCAAGAUAGAAAUGACAUACUGGAAAAUAAUUGAAAAAUUAACAUUUGUUUUUCAAUAACUGAUUCCCUUACUAAUUUUUAAAUAUUAGCAUUUCUCUGGCAAAAUAUACUGUGGAAAUAUUUGGUAGUCUCAGACCAUUUUUCUCCCUUAUCAAAGUCUUUUUCAUGAAAGAUUUUUCACAUAUACAUUUAUUUUAGUUCUUUUUUAACAUAUUAAUUGAGUGUUGAGGAAGUUAGUUUUAUUUGUGCUGUUAUUUUGGAAUCUUAUAUUUGAGUAUUCAGCAAAUAUAAUUGCUUAGCUAAAUCUGUAUGUCAUUAUUUAUUUACCUACUGAUUUGCCACUACUCUCUUAAGUACAUUAAUAGACACAAUAAUGGAGUGAUUUGGAAGAUGCUUUUGGAGAAGUGAACAAUAUCACAUUUCUAAAUGGAAUCCAAAGGAGAAUGGAAUCCUCCACUGAUACAUGGAUAUUCUUGGUGGUAGUGGUUCAGUGGGAAUUGGAAGUUACAGCUAUGAAGCAGUAUGUGAGCAGGUUUAUAACGCACAUGCACUAAUAGGGCUUGCAGAAGAGAACUUAAAACUUUCUAGACUUUGCUGGAGUCUCUUGAGGGAAAUUACAGCAGGUGAAACUACCCAAGAUAGGGGUUCUAAGGAGGAUACUACCUUCAGAGAAACUGUAGUUAGAGGUAAGUGAUUUCUCCUUAUUUUCUGAAUUCAUACCAUUAACUUACUCUUCUUAGCCCACAAAUAUCAUCAUAUAGCAUCUAAAAUUAGUUUUAUAUUACUGCUUGCCAUUGUAUAUUUUAUUAAUUCUAUAUGUUUUAAAAGGAAUUUCGUAUAAAUAGGGAUUGCAAAACUCUAGUUAAAAGAAACAUUAUAAAAUUGUUCACUCAGACUAUAUAAAAUUUAGGCUCAAUUUUAAUGGUUACUCUUUUAAAAUUAUUUUCCUACCUUUGUUAGUGGACUCUGUUAUUUUUGUCUUACUUGAUAUAGAUGUAGACACAUCCAUAUACACUAACAUAUAUACACACACAAACAUACACAUUGAUAGCUAUAUGUUCUGUUUAUUGUAUAUUGUAUUCAGUGUGCCACAUAUUAUGGGUUUGAUUUCAGACAGUUAAAUGUGAGGUUCUGUUAAAAAUCAAAGUGUUUUGUGUUUUUUUUUAAUUUCUUUUUCUUUUUACCUUCAUCUGAAACACCCAGUUUCUGGAGUUGUUUUAUCUUCAUUCUCAGACAAAUUAAUUUGUAAAUAAUAUUUAAGAUUAAAAUAUGAAUCAAAUUAGCACUCACCUAAUUUAUCAUUAUAGCAGACUUAAUCAAUUUUUAUAGUUGUUUUUCAGCAUGAUUGGUUAGAGAUUAUUUUUAUAAUGAGUACUAAGAAUCUCCUGCAAUUAAAAAAAACCAUCACAAUGUUUUCGUUACUGAAUUGCUUUUUAGCAGAUAUUUAUUAGUUAUCUGAUCUUUAUAUUGCCUGACCAAGUAGGGAAUCAGUGUUUAAGGGCUCUUUUGCCAUUCUGUAUAUCUCAGAUUGAGUUCUAUUCAACACUAGUCUGUUAUAGGAUAUAAUAGAUAUUCUGGGGAAGCCUUCUGUGAUUAAAUAAAUUUGGGAAACUAUACCAGUAAUCCUCUUUGGAAAGAUCACACAAAGUGUGUAUUGUAUGUUAAAUAUUCCAGUGAUUCCUAUAGUAGAGAGAUUUGUGUAAAUGUGUUUAACCUGGCAUUUUCCUUCUUGUGGGACAUCUGUUAAUAUCUUAACAGACAUAUAUCCUUAACUUAGGAUUCUGAGGAACACAUUGUGGAAAAGUCUAUGUUAGAGUAAGGUGAUUUAAGGAAUAUCUCUAUUUUGUUAAGCUAAUAUUUAUGUCUUAAGGAUGUUGAAGGGUAAUGAGAAUACUAAAAUAUGUGUUAUAAUUUCCUGUUUUACAUAUUUUAUUAUUCUGAAAAAAUAUCAGUGAAAGAAUUAUUUGUAUUGGUCCUUUAAAAAGCUUUUGUUCUUAGUGAUUUGUUAGGUAAUUAGAACCUUCAGUGUUCACUGAUUAGAUCAAAGUAAACUUGAAUCUGCUUAUUGCCAAGUACAUUUGAGAGUGUAUUAUUAUAAGGAGAUAGUUCUAAGUACAUUCUAGUAAUACAUAGAAAUUAGACAUAUAAUUUUUUGUUGGUUAAUUAGGAAAGCAUAUAUCGUAAAGAAAAAUGAUUUAGCCUCGUAUGUUUGACAGGAGGGAAAUGCUUUUUUAUUUAACAGUAAAAUUUUAGACACUUUUUAUGGGUAUCUUUUGUCAUAUGACAUAUUUACUUAGUCCCUACUUUAUGGUAGACACUGUUCUAGGCCAUUUUCUUUUAGGAUACUUCUGUUAUUGAAUAAGUAUAUUUAAAUACCUAUUUAUUAUGACAAAAUGUAUUUGAAAGUCUGAAAUUGGGUUUAGCAGCAUGAUGCCAUAUAGUUCCUUUGGAGAGAUAAGAUUACAUAAAAGUUCCCUAAGCAAACAUAGCUUAAUGAUUGUUUUAAAGUUUUGAAUGGAAAGUUGUUAAAUUAGUAAGUAUGAAAUCAAAAGCAUUUCAACAUAUUUAGUUUACACAAGUUGAUAUUAUAAGUCCUACCCUGAUUUAACAUCUGAUUUGGACAUUCUUAUAUGGUUAGCUCAGCCACAUAACUCAUUUGGAUGAAGGACUGGUGCAGAUUUGUCCAAAUAUGUAAGCAUCACAUAAAGAAAAAUCUCUUCCACAGACUGUAUCCUCAUUUUUCCAGGAAUUUGUAUGGUUGGACAUAGUGGGAACCAGUUUAAAAAAUGGGGACUUCUGCUUUCAGGAAGAUGGAGUAGAUGUACAUUGCCCUAUUCCUCCCGGUAAAACAACUGAAAACUUUGAACAUUAUAUAUAAAAUAAACAUAAGAAGACUCUGAAAGGUGGAGAGAAGGCAUACAAACUAGGGAUUUCAGCACCCAAGGAAUCACACGGUGACCUGUCCUAAAAAAAAAAAUGCCUAAAGAAAGUUCCUAAACAGAAGGGAAAUUAUAAGAGGAAUGGUCUUUGAACAUCAGGAAGGAAGGAAGAACAAGGUAAGCAAAAAUAUGGAUAAAUACAAUAGACUUUCCUUCUUUUCCUGAGUUUUCUAAAUUAUGUUUGAUAGUUGAACCAAAAUUAUUACAACACUGUCUAAUGUGGUUCUACAUAUAUUUAGAAGGAAUUUAAGACAUUAUAUUUAUUAUAAAUGGGAGGAGGUAUAAAGACAGGUAGGGUUUCUAUACUCAAAUUAGUAAAAGAAUGGUAUCACUAGACUGGUAAGUUGUAUAUACAUAUGUGUAUAUAUAUUAUACAUAUGUGUGUAUAAAAAUGUAAUACCCAAAACAACCACUGAAAAAGAGAUACACUC